AUCACAGUCAGACGGGCACAAAACUUCAACCAGCCGUUUCUCUGCCUGGAAGCGGCGAACAUGUAACCUGGACGGGAGGCUGGAUGGGGACACAUACCAUGAGUGACAUCUUACCAGAGGGUGGCCAUGAACUUCAUCAUGUUCCACAACUGUUAAUGACCACUGGCGCUGGCCCUGCUGCUCUCUGAACUCCUCUCUGUGGAACUGUGCCCCUUCUCUGGGAAGAGUCCUUGAAGCUCUACUGAGAAUGAAACCUCUUCUUUCAGCUCAUGUCAAUCUUGGUAUUUUCCCAACAUGUUCAGGUUCUGGCUUGGAGGUGCUAUCUGUUGUUGACUUUGGACAUAAACGAAGCUGUUAUUUGCC
Molecule: long non-coding RNA, 363 nt
Filed under: Homo sapiens (human)
Lineage: Eukaryota; Metazoa; Chordata; Mammalia; Primates; Hominidae
Description: HSALNT0405998
Source: RNAcentral